This 258-nucleotide unclassified non-coding RNA is filed under the name Sporidesmium sp. Its description in RNAcentral is "partial contains 5.8S ribosomal RNA, internal transcribed spacer 2, and large subunit ribosomal RNA". The record is from RNAcentral. Lineage: Eukaryota; Fungi; Ascomycota; Sordariomycetes; Sporidesmiaceae.
CGCACAUUGCGCCCGCCAGCACUCUGGCGGGCAUGCCUGUCCGAGCGUCAUUUCCACCCUCAGGCCCCCGUUGGCCUGGCGUUGGGGCUUCUGUAGGCCAGUCCCUACAGGCCCUCAAGACCAGUGGCGGGCUCGCCUGGAACUCCGAGCGCAGUAGUUUCUCCUCGCUCAGCAGGCUCCGGGCGGGUUUGGCCGUUAAACCCCCUAAAUUUUUAAAAGGUUGACCUCGGAUCAGGUAGGGAUACCCGCUGAACUUAA